GACGGUACCUUAUUAGAAAGCCACGGCUAACUACGUGCCAGCAGCCGCGGUAAUACGUAGGUGGCAAGCGUUGUCCGGAAUUAUUGGGCGUAAAGCGCGCGCAGGCGGUCCUUUAAGUCUGAUGUGAAAGCCCACGGCUCAACCGUGGAGGGUCAUUGGAAACUGGGGGACUUGAGUGCAGAAGAGGAAAGUGGAAUUCCAAGUGUAGCGGUGAAAUGCGUAGAGAUUUGGAGGAACACCAGUGGCGAAGGCGACUUUCUGGUCUGUAACUGACGCUGAGGCGCGAAAGCGUGGGGAGCAAACAGGAUUAGAUACCCUGGUAGUCCACGCCGUAAACGAUGAGUGCUAAGUGUUAGGGGGUUUCCGCCCCUUAGUGCUGCAGCUAACGCAUUAAGCACUCCGCCUGGGGAGUACGGUCGCAAGACUGAAACUCAAAGGAAUUGACGGGGGCCCGCACAAGCGGUG
RNAcentral lists this ribosomal RNA (465 nucleotides) under uncultured bacterium. RNAcentral describes it as "bacterial SSU rRNA". It matches the Rfam family "Bacterial small subunit ribosomal RNA", at positions 471 to 934 of the family's 1533-position model. The record is from RNAcentral.